AAACUUAAAUGAAUUGACGGGGACCCGCACAAGCAGCGGAGCGUGUGGUUUAAUUCGUUGCUACACGAAGAACCUUACCUGGGUUUGACAUAUAGGUUGUAGGGAACUGAAAAGGGACCGACCCUUCGGGAGCCUAUACAGGUGUUGCAUGGCUGUCGUCAGCUCGUGUCGUGAGAUGUUCGGUUAAGUCCGCUAACGAGCGCAACCCUCGUCGUAUGUUAUAUGUGUCAUACGAGACUGCCGGUAAAAAGCCGGAGGAAGGUGGGGAUGAUGUCAAGUCAGCAUGGCCUAUAUAUCCUGGGCUACACACACGCUACAAUGGUCGGUACAAUGGGUCGCUAAGCCGCGAGGCGGAGCCAAUCCUAAAAAGCCGGCCCCAGUUCAGAUUGCAGGCUGCAACUCGCCUGCAUGAAGAUGGAGUUGCUAGUAACCGCAGGUCAGCAAUACUGCGGUGAAUACGUUCCCGGGCCUU
RNAcentral lists this ribosomal RNA (472 nucleotides) under uncultured Anaerolineaceae bacterium. RNAcentral's name for it is "bacterial SSU rRNA". It matches the Rfam family "Bacterial small subunit ribosomal RNA", at positions 897 to 1382 of the family's 1533-position model. Lineage: Bacteria; Bacillati; Chloroflexota; Anaerolineae; Anaerolineales; Anaerolineaceae. The record is from RNAcentral.